GUGAACUCGAAGAGUAGGGCGGGACACGUGGUAUCCUGUCUGAAUAUGGGGGGACCAUCCUCCAAGGCUAAAUACUCCUGACUGACCGAUAGUGAACCAGUACCGUGAGGGAAAGGCGAAAAGAACCCCGGCGAGGGGAGUGAAAAAGAACCUGAAACCGUGUACGUACAAGCAGUGGGAGCACCUUCGGGUGUGACUGCGUACCUUUUGUAUAAUGGGUCAGCGACUUAUAUUCUGUAGCAAGGUUAACCGUAUAGGGGAGCCGCAGGGAAACCGAGUCUUAACUGGGCGUUAAGUUGCAGGGUAUAGACCCGAAACCCGGUGAUCUAGCCAUGGGCAGGUUGAAGGUUGGGUAACACUAACUGGAGGACCGAACCGACUAAUGUUGAAAAAUUAGCGGAUGACUUGUGGCUGGGGGUGAAAGGCCAAUCAAACCGGGAGAUAGCUGGUUCUCCCCGAAAGCUAUUUAGGUAGCGCCUCGUGAACUCAUCUUCGGGGGUAGAGCACUGUUUCGGCUAGGGGGUCAUCCCGACUUACCAACCCGAUGCAAACUACGAAUACCGAAGAAUGUUAUCACGGGAGACACACGGCGGGUGCUAACGUCCGUCGUGAAGAGGGAAACAACCCAGACCGCCAGCUAAGGUCCCAAAGUCAUGGUUAAGUGGGAAACGAUGUGGGAAGGCACAGACAGCCAGGAUGUUGGCUUAGAAGCAGCCAUCAUUUAAAGAAAGCGUAAUAGCUCACUGGUCGAGUCGGCCUGCGCGGAAGAUGUAACGGGGCUAAACCAUGCACCGAAGCUGCGGCAGCGACACUAUGUGUUGUUGGGUAGGGGAGCGUUCUGUAAGCCUGCGAAGGUGUGCUGUGAGGCAUGCUGGAGGUAUCAGAAGUGCGAAUGCUGACAUAAGUAACGAUAAAGCGGGUGAAAAGCCCGCUCGCCGGAAGACCAAGGGUUCCUGUCCAACGUUAAUCGGGGCAGGGUGAGUCGACCCCUAAGGCGAGGCCGAAAGGCGUAGUCGAUGGGAAACAGGUUAAUAUUCCUGUACUUGGUGUUACUGCGAAGGGGGGACGGAGAAGGCUAUGUUAGCCGGGCGACGGUUGUCCCGGUUUAAGCAUGUAGGCUGAUUGUCCAGGCAAAUCCGGAUAAUCAAGGCUGAGGUGUGAUGACGAGGCACUACGGUGCUGAAGUAACAAAUGCCCUGCUUCCAGGAAAAGCCUCUAAGCAUCAGGUAACAUUAAAUCGUACCCCAAACCGACACAGGUGGUCAGGUAGAGAAUACCAAGGCGCUUGAGAGAACUCGGGUGAAGGAACUAGGCAAAAUGGUGCCGUAACUUCGGGAGAAGGCACGCUGGUGUGUAGGUGAAGNUGGAGCUGAGACCAGUCGAAGAUACCAGCUGGCUGCAACUGUUUAUUAAAAACACAGCACUGUGCAAACACGAAAGUGGACGUAUACGGUGUGACGCCUGCCCGGUGCCGGAAGGUUAAUUGAUGGGGUUAUCCGUAAGGAGAAGCUCUUGAUCGAAGCCCCGGUAAACGGCGGCCGUAACUAUAACGGUCCUAAGGUAGCGAAAUUCCUUGUCGGGUAAGUUCCGACCUGCACGAAUGGCGUAAUGAUGGCCAGGCUGUCUCCACCCGAGACUCAGUGAAAUUGAACUCGCUGUGAAGAUGCAGUGUACCCGCGGCAAGACGGAAAGACCCCGUGAACCUUUACUAUAGCUUGACACUGAACAUUGAGCCUUGAUGUGUAGGAUAGGUGGGAGGCUUUGAAGCGUGGACGCCAGUCUGCGUGGAGCCAACCUUGAAAUACCACCCUUUAAUGUUUGAUGUUCUAACGUUGGCCCCUUACCGGGGUUGCGGACAGUGUCUGGUGGGUAGUUUGACUGGGGCGGUCUCCUCCCAAAGCGUAACGGAGGAGCACGAAGGUUAGCUAAUCCUGGUCGGACAUCAGGAGGUUAGUGCAAUGGCAUAAGCUAGCUUGACUGCGAGCGUGACGGCGCGAGCAGGUGCGAAAGCAGGUCAUAGUGAUCCGGUGGUUCUGAAUGGAAGGGCCAUCGCUCAACGGAUAAAAGGUACUCCGGGGAUAACAGGCUGAUACCGCCCAAGAGUUCAUAUCGACGGCGGUGUUUGGCACCUCGAUGUCGGCUCAUCACAUCCUGGGGCUGAAGUAGGUCCCAAGGGUAUGGCUGUUCGCCAUUUAAAGUGGUACGCGAGCUGGGUUUAGAACGUCGUGAGACAGUUCGGUCCCUAUCUGCCGUGGGCGCUGGAGAAUUGAGGGGGGCUGCUCCUAGUACGAGAGGACCGGAGUGGACGCAUCACUGGUGUUCGGGUUGUCAUGCCAAUGGCACUGCCCGGUAGCUAAAUGCGGAAGAGAUAAGUGCUGAAAGCAUCUAAGCACGAAACUUGCCCCGAGAUGAGUUCUCCCUGAGACUUUAAGUCUCCUGAAGGAACGUUGAAGACGACGACGUUGAUAGGCCGGGUGUGUAAGCGCAGCGAUGCGUUGAGCUAACCGGUACUAAUGAACCGUGAGGCUUAACCUU
RNAcentral lists this ribosomal RNA (2535 nucleotides) under Klebsiella pneumoniae. Its description in RNAcentral is "23S ribosomal RNA". It matches the Rfam family "Bacterial large subunit ribosomal RNA", at positions 399 to 2925 of the family's 2925-position model. The record is from RNAcentral. Lineage: Bacteria; Pseudomonadati; Pseudomonadota; Gammaproteobacteria; Enterobacterales; Enterobacteriaceae.